Molecule: ribosomal RNA, 446 nt
Filed under: uncultured bacterium
Lineage: Bacteria
Description: partial 16S ribosomal RNA
Rfam family: Bacterial small subunit ribosomal RNA
Source: RNAcentral
UCCAGACUCCUACGGGAGGCAGCAGUGGGGGAUAUUGCACAAUGGGGGGAACCCUGAUGCAGCGACGCCGCGUGGGUGAAGGAGCGUUUCGGCGCGUAAAGCCCUAUCGGCAGGGAAGAAGGAGGACGGUACCUGACUAAGAAGCCCCGGCUAACUACGUGCCAGCAGCCGCGGUAAUACGUAGGGGGCGAGCGUUAUCCGGAAUUACUGGGUGUAAAGGGGGCGCAGACGGCAGCGCAAGCCAGGAGUGAAAGCCCGGGGCCCAACCCCGGGACUGCUCUUGGAACUGCGCGGCUGGAGUGCAGGAGGGGCAGGCAGAAUUCCUGGUGUAGCGGUGAAAUGCGUAGAUAUCAGGAGGAGCACCGGUGGCGAAGGCGGCCUGCUGGACUGCGACUGACGUUGAGGCCCGAAGGCGUGGGGAGCAAACAGGAUUAGAUACCCGAGUA